This 1646-nucleotide ribosomal RNA is filed under the name freshwater metagenome. RNAcentral describes it as "bacterial LSU rRNA". It matches the Rfam family "Bacterial large subunit ribosomal RNA", at positions 581 to 2333 of the family's 2925-position model. The record is from RNAcentral.
UCGAUUAUAACGACUGACCGUGUGCCUGUUGAAGAAUGAGCCGGCGACUUAUAGGCACUGGCGGGUUAAGACGGGAAUGUCGAAGCCAAAGCGAAAGCGAGUCUGAAUAGGGCGAAUUAGUCAGUGUUUAUAGACCCGAACCUGGGUGAUCUAACCAUGUCCAGGAUGAAGCUUGGGUAACACCAAGUGGAGGUCCGAACCGACUGAUGUUGAAAAAUCAGCGGAUGAGGUGUGGUUAGGGGUGAAAUGCCAAUCGAACCCAGAGCUAGCUGGUUCUCCCCGAAAUAUGUUGAGGCAUAGCGGUUGAUGUUUAAGUCAGGGGGUAGAGCACUGUUUCGGUGCGGGCUGGGAGACCGGUACCAAAUCGAGACAAACUCCGAAUACCAGAUGAAUAGUCAGCCAGUCAGACGGUGGGGGAUAAGCUUCAUCGUCAAGAGGGAAACAGCCCAGACCACCAGCUAAGGUCCUCAAGUUAUUGCUAAGUGGAAAAGGAGGUGGGAGUGCAGAGACAACCAGGAGGUUUGCCUAGAAGCAGCCAUCCUUAAAAGAGUGCGUAAUAGCUCACUGGUCAAGCGCUCCUGCGCCGAAAAUGAACGGGACUAAGCAAUGCACCGAAGCUGUGGAUUCGAGAGAAUGGUAGGGGAGCGUUCUGUAUAGUGAGAAGCGGUAGCGAGAGCAGCCGUGGACGAAACAGAAGUGAGAAUGUCGGCUUAAGUAGCGAAAAUGUGGGUGAGAAUCCCACACCCCGAAACCCUAAGGAUUCCUCCGGAAGGCUCGUCCACGGAGGGUUAGUCGGGACCUAAGGCGAAGCCGAAGGGCGUAGUCGAUGGAUAUCAGGUUAAUAUUCCUGAACUACUGUAUUGGAGUUGUGAGGGGACGCAUGAGAAAUAUCUACACCCUGAAUGGAUUGGGAGGAAGCUACGGCAUCCGAGUAGAGAAAAGUAGUGCCAAGAAAAGCCGAAACAACGAAGAAGAUAUGGUACCCGUACCCGAAACCGACACAGGUAGGGUGGUAGAGUAUACCGAGGGGCGCGAGAUAACUCUCUCUAAGGAACUCGGCAAAAUGGCCCCGUAACUUCGGGAGAAGGGGUGCCACUGAAAGGUGGUCGCAGUGAAGAGUCCCAGGCGACUGUUUACCAAAAACACAGGUCUCUGCAAACUCGUAAGAGGAAGUAUAGGGGCUGACGCCUGCCCAGUGCCGGAAGGUUAAGGAAGUUGGUCAGCGAAAGUGAAGCUGACGACCGAAGCCCCGGUGAACGGCGGCCGUAACUAUAACGGUCCUAAGGUAGCGAAAUUCCUUGUCGGGUAAGUUCCGACCCGCACGAAAGGCGUAACGAUCUGGGAGCUGUCUCGGAGAGAGACUCGGCGAAAUAGAAUUGUCUGUGAAGAUGCGGACUACCUGCACCUGGACAGAAAGACCCUAUGAAGCUUUACUGUAACUUGGCAUUGGGUUCGGGCUUUGAUUGCGCAGGAUAGGUGGGAGACAGAGAGACAAUCCUUGUGGGGAUUGAGGAGUCAACGGUGAGAUACCACUCUAUCAAGGCUAGAAUUCUAACUAAAAGGACAGUGUCAGGUGGGCAGUUUGACUGGGGCGGUCGCCUCCUAAAAGGUAACGGAGGCGCGCAAAGGUUCCCUCAGGCUGGUUG